This 23-nucleotide microRNA is filed under the name Tribolium castaneum (red flour beetle). RNAcentral describes it as "tca-miR-3849-3p". The record is from miRBase by way of RNAcentral. Lineage: Eukaryota; Metazoa; Arthropoda; Insecta; Coleoptera; Tenebrionidae.
AGCAUUGUGUUGGAAAUGUCGUC